This is a non-coding RNA of Podarcis lilfordi (Lilford's wall lizard), 72 nucleotides long. NCBI's taxonomy places the organism in Eukaryota, Metazoa, Chordata, Lepidosauria, Squamata, Lacertidae. The record is from the annotation of a GenBank genome assembly.
GGAGCCAUAGCUCAGUGGUAGAGCACCUGCCUUGGAUACAGGAGGCCCCAGGUUCCAUCCUUGGCAUCUUCA